AUUGAACGCUGGCGGCAGGCCUAACACAUGCAAGUCGAGCGGAGCGGCGGACGGGUGAGUAAUGCCUAGGCAUCUGCCUGGUAGUGGGGGAUAACGUCCGGAAACGGGCGCUAAUACCGCAUACUAUCAGACGAGCCUAGGUCGGAUAAGCUAGUUGGGGGGGUAAAGGCCUACCAAGGCGACGAUCCGUAACUGGUCCGAGAGGAUGAUCAGUCACACUGGAACUGAGCACGGGUCCAGACCCCUACGGGAGGAAGCGGUGGGGAAAAGUGGACAAUGGGAGAAAGCCUGAUCCAGACAUGCCGGGUGUGUGAAGAAGGGCUUCGGAUUGCAAAGCGCUUUAAGUUGGGAGGCGUUACCGACAGAAUAAGUACCGGAUAACUUCGUGCCAGCAGCCGCGGUAAUUC
This 407-nucleotide ribosomal RNA is filed under the name uncultured bacterium. Its description in RNAcentral is "partial 16S ribosomal RNA". It matches the Rfam family "Bacterial small subunit ribosomal RNA", at positions 29 to 526 of the family's 1533-position model. The record is from RNAcentral.